This 275-nucleotide unclassified non-coding RNA is filed under the name Sordariomycetes sp. RNAcentral describes it as "partial contains 5.8S ribosomal RNA, internal transcribed spacer 2, and large subunit ribosomal RNA". The record is from RNAcentral. Lineage: Eukaryota; Fungi; Ascomycota; Sordariomycetes.
CGCACAUUGCGCCCGCCAGUAUUCUGGCGGGCAUGCCUGUUCGAGCGUCAUUUCAACCCUCAGGACCACCGCUUGCGGCGGGACUGGUGUUGGGGAUCAGCGUAGGUGCCGGGCCCUGCCCUGCCUGCUGGCCCUGAAAUACAGUGGCGGUCUCGCUGCGGACUCCCUUGCGUAGUAACUCACCUCGCUCGCGGAAGCCCGGCCUGGCCACGCCGUCAAACCCCCUAUUUUCAAUGGUUGACCUCGAAUCAGGUAGGAAUACCCGCUGAACUUAA